GUUUAACGUCACAAAUAAACUGACGGGCUACAGAAACGCUACCAUAGAUUAAAAACCCUAAUGUGAAAUAACCACAAAAGAUAGAUCCAUAAAACAAAAUGUAUUUUUAACAAUAACAUGUCAAGUUAUAAGACUCAUAAAAACGCAACAAUGAAACUUCCCGUUUUAACAUGCCAUUUUUCCAAGUGGAAAACUCAUUGUUGCGUUUGGGCGAUGUGUUUUCAUGUGAUGGUAAUUGCAGCUGAAUUUGGAACUUUUGGUAAUUUAAAUUUCAAAGUGGUAACGUUUCCUAAGCUGUCAGUUUAGAAUUAUGCAUUUAAGAGCUUUCUGUUAUGUAGUGUCAUUUUAAUUAAUUUUAAUUUUAAUUGAAGA
Haliotis rubra (blacklip abalone) is the source of this 372-nucleotide long non-coding RNA. RefSeq lists it as uncharacterized. The transcript has 3 exons. The record is from RefSeq and is a predicted model, not a curated record. Lineage: Eukaryota; Metazoa; Mollusca; Gastropoda; Lepetellida; Haliotidae.